This 325-nucleotide ribosomal RNA is filed under the name uncultured eukaryote. RNAcentral's name for it is "partial 18S ribosomal RNA". It matches the Rfam family "Eukaryotic small subunit ribosomal RNA", at positions 1470 to 1796 of the family's 1831-position model. The record is from RNAcentral.
CCCUUAGAUGUUCUGGGCCGCACGCGCGCUACACUGAUGCAUUCAACGAGCCUAUCCUUGACCGACAGGUCCGGGUAAUCUUUGAAUCUGCAUCGUGACGGGGAUAGAUUAUUGUAAUUAUUAAUCUUCAACGAGGAAUGCCUAGUAGGCGCAAGUCAUCAGCUUGCGUCGAUUACGUCCCUGCCCUUUGUACACACCGCCCGUCGCUCCUACCGAUUGGGUGUGCUGGUGAAAUGUUCGGAUCGGCCGUUUGUCGCGGUUUCCGCGGCUCGUGGCUGAGAAGUUCAUUAAACCCUCCCACCUAGAGGAAGGAGAAGUCGUAACA